This is a long non-coding RNA of Pan troglodytes (chimpanzee), 485 nucleotides long. RefSeq lists it as uncharacterized. The record is from RefSeq and is a predicted model, not a curated record. The transcript has 3 exons. Lineage: Eukaryota; Metazoa; Chordata; Mammalia; Primates; Hominidae.
UAGUCAGAAACUGGCCAGUCCCGACCCCCGGUCCACCUAGGGCUCCGCCCACCACCGAGAAUAAGCCAAUCUCUUUGAGGCUUCUACAGGAGAACGUCGUGCGUUUGAGCUUCAACUUGAUAAGCCUGGCAGAAGCCUGACGAACCCAGAAUGAGUGAGAUGUGAGACAGAGUCUUGUUCGGUCGCGCAUGCUGGCGUACAGUGCCACAAUCACAGCUCACCGCAGCUUCCAACUUCUGGACUCACGUGAUCCUUCUGCCUCAGACUUCCAAGUACCUGGGACUGCAGGCACGAAUCACCACAGCCAGCUUGGAGUGACUUUCUAAGGGUAAUUACAAAAGUAAACUUCUUUAACAUAGCUAUAUCACAGCACGAGUGGGAGGAAGGAAGAUGAGGAGGAGAUGGUUCUUCCUACUGGUCCUAAAAAUGCUCUUGAGUGAUAUCUCUACAAUCAAGGGUAAUAUUAAAAUAUUUAAGAAUCAGUA